RNAcentral lists this ribosomal RNA (666 nucleotides) under uncultured Vibrionaceae bacterium. Its description in RNAcentral is "bacterial SSU rRNA". It matches the Rfam family "Bacterial small subunit ribosomal RNA", at positions 8 to 671 of the family's 1533-position model. The record is from RNAcentral. Lineage: Bacteria; Pseudomonadati; Pseudomonadota; Gammaproteobacteria; Vibrionales; Vibrionaceae.
AGAGUUUCAUCAUGGCUCAGAUUGAACGCUGGCGGCAGGCCUAACACAUGCAAGUCGAGCGGUAACAUGUCUAGCUUGCUAAAUGAUGACGAGCGGCGGACGGGUGAGUAAUGCUUGGGGAUCUGCCUUAGAGUGGAGGAUAACCAUUGGAAACGAUGGCUAAUACUGCAUAGUAUCUGCGGAUUAAAGGGGGCUUAGGCUCUUGCUUUAAGAUGAACCCAAGUGGGAUUAGCUAGUUGGUGAGGUAAUGGCUCACCAAGGCGACGAUCCCUAGCUGGUCUGAGAGGAUGAUCAGCCACACUGGAACUGAGACACGGCCCAGACUCCUACGGGAGGCAGCAGUGGGGAAUAUUGCACAAUGGGGGGAACCCUGAUGCAGCCAUGCCGCGUGUGUGAAGAAGGCCUUCGGGUUGUAAAGCACUUUCAGUUGUGAGGAAAGGUGUGUAGUUAAUAGCUGCAUACUGUGACGUUAGCAACAGAAGAAGCACCGGCUAACUUCGUGCCAGCAGCCGCGGUAAUACGAGGGGUGCAAGCGUUAAUCGGAAUUACUGGGCGUAAAGCGUUCGUAGGCGGUUGAAUAAGCAAGAUGUGAAAGCCCAGGGCUCAACCUUGGAACUGCAUUUUGAACUGUUCGACUAGAGUACUGUAGAGGGGGGUAGAAUUUCA